GUUGUCUGGAACAGUAUAAAAUAAAAUUAGAUAAAUACAGAGAAGAAUAGCAUGGUCCCUUGCGCAAAGAUGACACGUGUAAUCGAGAAGCGUAUGAAAUUUUU
RNAcentral lists this small nuclear RNA (104 nucleotides) under Sinocyclocheilus rhinocerous. The record is from RNAcentral. Lineage: Eukaryota; Metazoa; Chordata; Actinopteri; Cypriniformes; Cyprinidae.